GACGAACGCUGGCGGCGUGCUUAACACAUGCAAGUCGAACGGAAAGGCCCUGCUUGCAGGGUACUCGAGUGGCGAACGGGUGAGUAACACGUGGGUGAUCUGCCCUGCACUUCGGGAUAAGCCUGGGAAACUGGGUCUAAUACCGGAUAGAAGCCAUUUUUAGUGUGAUGGUUGGAAAGUUUUUUCGGUGUAGGAUGAGCUCGCGGCCUAUCAGCUUGUUGGUGGGGUAAUGGCCUACCAAGGCGGCGACGGGUAGCCGGCCUGAGAGGGUGGACGGCCACAUUGGGACUGAGAUACGGCCCAGACUCCUACGGGAGGCAGCAGUGGGGAAUAUUGCACAAUGGGCGCAAGCCUGAUGCAGCGACGCCGCGUGGGGGAUGACGGCCUUCGGGUUGUAAACUCCUUUCGCUAGGGACGAAGCUUUUGUGACGGUACCUAGAUAAGAAGCACCGGCUAACUACGUG
Molecule: ribosomal RNA, 464 nt
Filed under: uncultured bacterium
Lineage: Bacteria
Description: partial 16S ribosomal RNA
Rfam family: Bacterial small subunit ribosomal RNA
Source: RNAcentral